Molecule: ribosomal RNA, 253 nt
Filed under: uncultured bacterium
Lineage: Bacteria
Description: partial 16S ribosomal RNA
Rfam family: Bacterial small subunit ribosomal RNA
Source: RNAcentral
UACGGAGGGUGCGAGCGUUGUCCGGAAUUAUUGGGCGUAAAGAGCUCGUAGGCGGUCUGUCGCGUCGGCUGUGAAAACUCGGGGCUCAACCCCGAGCCUGCAGUCGAUACGGGCAGACUAGAGUGCUGUAGGGGAGACUGGAAUUCCUGGUGUAGCGGUGAAAUGCGCAGAUAUCAGGAGGAACACCGGUGGCGAAGGCGGGUCUCUGGGCAGUAACUGACGCUGAGGAGCGAAAGCGUGGGGAGCGAACAGG